RNAcentral lists this ribosomal RNA (471 nucleotides) under Kladothrips augonsaxxos. Its description in RNAcentral is "partial 16S ribosomal RNA". The record is from RNAcentral. Lineage: Eukaryota; Metazoa; Arthropoda; Insecta; Thysanoptera; Phlaeothripidae.
CUCUUAUUUAUAUUAUAUAAUAAGUAUAGCCUACCCAGUGUAUAUAAUUAACGGUUACAAUAGUAUUAAAGUAGCGUAAUAAAUUAUCAUCUAAUUAAUGAAUAUAAUGAAGGUUUAAUGAAUUAAACUCUGUCUUUAAAAAAUAAAAUAAAAUUAAUAAUUUAGUGAAAAAUCUUAAUUUUUUUAAAAGACGAUAAGACCCUAUAGAACUUAUUUAAAAUUUUAAAUUUACUGGGGAAGUAAAGAUAUAUAAAAAAUUAUCUUAAAAAACAAAGACUUAAGGUUUUUUAAUUAAUAAAUAACCAUAUUUAUAAAAAUAAUUAAUGACUAAAAAGUUACCUUAGGGAUAACAGCAUUAAAAUUAUAAAAAGCUCUUAUUUUAAUAAUUUUUAAUGACCUCGAUGUUGAAUUAAGAUAAAUUUAAAAAGCAAAAGUUUUAUUUAAUUAGGUCUGUUCGACCUUAAAAAUCUU